UGGCGUCACCUGCGGAAAGGACUGAAGGAGCUGCGGACCAUGCGUUGCCGCCAACAUCGCCCACAGGGGUCGAGGAACGUCCCGUCGAUACCCCCCCGGUAUUUCACCGAAGGAGACCAUCAUCCAUUGGAAAGCACGAACUAGCACCGGCCAGUGGGACUUUGUCAGCAAAAUCUCGAGCCUUGGACGCUUUCCUCCAAGGUGUUCUUUAUUACAGCCUGCUUCAGCAUGUGUACCCGAGCCGGCCCAGUCAAGGCUCUGACGGGAGACUGCAACAAGGCCGUCAGCAAUUUCCCGGCUUUCGCUCGAGCCUUCCGGUGUCCGACUGGUUCGCCCAUGAACCCACUGGAGAAGUGCCUUUAUUUCGACUGAGCCGCGCAAGCUAACUUCCUCCGAAGGAUGCUGUCGGCGCUUGUCUUGAAUGUCUCCUUCGCAUUGUACAUGAUGUCCCCUAACGUUUUGUGC
This 465-nucleotide long non-coding RNA is filed under the name Dermacentor andersoni. RNAcentral's name for it is "uncharacterized LOC126527728". Lineage: Eukaryota; Metazoa; Arthropoda; Arachnida; Ixodida; Ixodidae. The record is from RNAcentral.